GACGAACGCUGGCGGCGUGCUUAACACAUGCAAGUCGAACGAAGAGCGAUGGAAGCUUGCUUCUAUCAAUCUUAGUGGCGAACGGGUGAGUAACGCGUAAUCAACCUGCCCUUCAGAGGGGGACAACAGUUGGAAACGACUGCUAAUACCGCAUACGAUCUAAUCUCGGCAUCGAGGAUAGAUGAAAGGUGGCCUCUACAUGUAAGCUAUCACUGAAGGAGGGGAUUGCGUCUGAUUAGCUAGUUGGAGGGGUAACGGCCAACCAAGGCGAUGAUCAGUAGCCGGUCUGAGAGGAUGAACGGCCACAUUGGGACUGAGACACGGCCCAGACUCCUACGGGAGGCAGCAGUGGGGAAUCUUCCGCAAUGGACGAAAGUCUGACGGAGCAACGCCGCGUGAGCGAUGACGGCCUUCGGGUUGUAAAGCUCUGUUAAUCGGGACGAAAGGCCUCCUUGCGAAUAGUGAGAAGGAUUGACGGUACCGGAAUAGAAAGCCACGGCUAACUACGUG
RNAcentral lists this ribosomal RNA (510 nucleotides) under uncultured bacterium. RNAcentral describes it as "partial 16S ribosomal RNA". It matches the Rfam family "Bacterial small subunit ribosomal RNA", at positions 28 to 507 of the family's 1533-position model. The record is from RNAcentral.